GAGGAUAGAGAGACGUGGAGAAAGAGAGGGGGAGGAAAGAUGAUUUAUUUCUAGCAUGAAAUUACUGUCUUUGCUUCGUUUGCUGGCUUGUAGCUCUGAUGUUGUCUAGCAGAUGUUUUACUUGGGGGAUAGAUGUUGUCUGAGCUUCUGAAAAGCCAAGUUGAUUAGCAGUAGUGUGGAAAUUAUUAAGUUGUAGAGGUACGAUAAAAAUAAAUAAAGUAGCCAUAUAAUUCUCAGGUAGUACCGGUAACGUGUUCUUAUGAUCAAGACUAAAGUGGUUUGCAUGGUCUUAGCCAUGUUUCCUAAACUUCUGAAAUGAAAAGUUGCCUUCACAAAUUAGCAAAAGUGAGGCAAUCAGGUUGUAAACUGUACAACUAUGGUAAAAUUCAUUAUCAUGUUUUUAUGAUUAAAGUGCUUUAAAUGGUCUUAACCAUGUUCAAUUAAGUUGUAAAUUGCACACCUAUGAUACAAAAAAUUGUUUGAGAAGUACCGCUUUAUUUUUUGUGCUUGCUUGGGUUCAGCUAGAACUUAAAAUCAUGGGCUUAAGCAAGGGAAAAAAAACUGAAGUUGGUGCGAUUAUAUUGUGUAUUGCCUUCUUAUAAUUAAAUAACGUGUUUUUUCGAGGACUUCUUGUGGUGCGAUUAAACCUUGUUUUUGGCACCUCGCUGACAAAGAUUAUGCCGCUGUUAUAAGCCCGUCCAGGGAUGAUCACAGCAUCACCGGUUGGAUGGGUUUGAAGAUUCUUUACAAGGGUAGUAAAUAUCCAAGUUGUUAAUGUUGUUAUCAGAUUUCCCCAAGAAUGCUGAAACAUAUGUCCACAGGAACAUAAGGGACGGAGGUGGCCGGUGUCUAUUAAACUUGUUUGACGCUGAAACAUACUAUUCUGAUCUCAUGCUUAACAAGUUCAUUAUAUGCCACCGCCAGUCUAAGUGAAAACUACCAUAAAUAGGUAGGUGUUUUCUUCUUAUAGUGUUCUAGAUGAUAGGUGAUAAGUUAGGUUAGCAAGGAAGGAUUAAUCAACCUUUUCGUGAAAUGGUGUGCAUAGAAAAUGUCUUUAUCAGUCUGACACUUCUAAUUACUCUUCAAUAUUAUAUCAUUCAUAUCAGCAUAAGUUGACUGAACAUGUUCUAAGAAUAAUAAGUCAAGCCCAUAAUUUACUUGGUUUUGUGUGGCUUUGUUCUCCAUUGCUUGGUUAAUUCUUAUUUCUAGACAAUUGAUUCUGGACUUAUUGAGGUUGUGCUAUUUCAGUCCACACAUGAGUUUUUUUAUAGUCGGUACUAUACUUUACAUCCUUUACUCAUAAAAUGGGAGGUGGUUACUGUUACCAGCUAGGUGCAAACUGGGAUUCUGAUAUAGUGGACCUUGUUGUCCUGCUCAAGGAUCCAAUAUCGGUUUACUGAUUUCAGUGCAAUACUGGAUAUUGGAUUCAACUUCUAUAUUCUUUGAAGUUCAAGACCCAUCCCUCCUUCCUUCUAAGUCUGACACAGUUUCUCAGUCAAAAAUUAACAUGGAUCCAUGAUCAAGAUAUCCAUGUUAAUUUUUGACUUGCACUUGCAUCUGAUCGGAUAUGCAAUUCCAGUCAUAUGCCUCCUUUCUUGCAACUGCCUACAGUUUUGUCAGCGUGUGGUGGUAUUCACCAUUAUGUGGCUCCAUGGUUGGUCCCGUUUGGUGCCCAGCUGCCUGAUGUUGUUCUUCGAUGAUUGUAUGAGAAAUCCUCUGGCUGGCUUCUGAAGAAACCGAUGUCAUGUUCACAUGUUAGAACAUGGAUAGGUACUUCUGGAUUGUCCCUAAAUCCUGGGCAGAUGCAUACCAAAGAAUUUCUUCUAAUUGGUUAUCAUUUCUACACUCACCUGCAUGGUUCACAUUUUCUCCUAAAUACAUUUUCUUUGAGAAAGAUGCAUGUCGCAUGAUGCUAUUGAGUUCUGAAUUGUGCAUGGGUUGUUUUUUCAUGCAGGUUAAAAUUCAGGUUGAGCUGGUUAAGCCUCCAAAAUAUGCAGCC
Lolium rigidum is the source of this 1999-nucleotide long non-coding RNA. RefSeq lists it as uncharacterized. NCBI's taxonomy places the organism in Eukaryota, Viridiplantae, Streptophyta, Magnoliopsida, Poales, Poaceae. The record is from RefSeq and is a predicted model, not a curated record. The transcript is spliced from 5 exons.